UUUCCGUAGGUGAACCUGCGGAAGGAUCAUUCAUAAUAAGUGUUUUAUGGCACUUUUUUAAAUCCAUAUCCACCUUGUGUGCAAUGUCAGGGUUGAUUUUUCUCUCGAGACGAUCAGCCCCAAACAUCAACUAUAUCUCAACUCUUUGUCUGAAAAAUAUUAUGAAUAAAACAAUUCAAAAUACAACUUUCAACAACGGAUCUCUUGGCUCUC
RNAcentral lists this unclassified non-coding RNA (213 nucleotides) under plant metagenome. Its description in RNAcentral is "partial contains small subunit ribosomal RNA, internal transcribed spacer 1, and 5.8S ribosomal RNA". The record is from RNAcentral.